UUUGGGAAAUGAUGAACAUUAUUCAUCUCAGAUGUCCUUUAUGGAUUUAUUUCAGAAUGAUGAAAAUUUGCACGUCAGUCUGAUCCCAAA
RNAcentral lists this small nucleolar RNA (90 nucleotides) under Leersia perrieri. RNAcentral's name for it is "snoRNA snoZ122". It matches the Rfam family "Small nucleolar RNA Z122". From Rfam's summary of the family: Z122 is a member of the C/D class of snoRNA which contain the C (UGAUGA) and D (CUGA) box motifs. Most of the members of the box C/D family function in directing site-specific 2'-O-methylation of substrate RNAs. The record is from Rfam by way of RNAcentral. Lineage: Eukaryota; Viridiplantae; Streptophyta; Magnoliopsida; Poales; Poaceae.